AACACAUGCAAGUCGAACGAGCGAGAGAGAGUUUACUUUUUCGAGCGAGUGGCGAACGGGUGAGUAACGCGUGAGGAACCUGCCUCAAAGAGGGGGACAACAGUUGGAAACGACUGCUAAUACCGCAUAAGCCCACGACCCGGCAUCGGGUAGAGGGAAAAGGAGCAAUCCGCUUUGAGAUGGCCUCGCGUCCGAUUAGCUAGUUGGUGAGGUAAUGGCCCACCAAGGCGACGAUCGGUAGCCGGACUGAGAGGUUGAACGGCCACAUUGGGACUGAGACACGGCCCAGACUCCUACGGGAGGCAGCAGUGGGGAAUAUUGCACAAUGGGGGAAACCCUGAUGCAGCGACGCCGCGUGGAGGAAGAAGGUCUUCGGAUUGUAAACUCCUGUUGUUGAGGAAGAUAAUGACGGUACUCAACAAGGAAGUGACGGCUAACUACGUGCCAGCAGCCGCGGUAAAACGUAGGUCACAAGCGUUGUCCGGAAUUACUGGGUGUAAAGGGAGCGCAGGCGGGAAGACAAGUUGGAAGUGAAAUCCAUGGGCUCAACCCAUGAACUGCUUUCAAAACUGUUUUUCUUGAGUAGUGCAGAGGUAGGCGGAAUUCCCGGUGUAGCGGUGGAAUGCGUAGAUAUCGGGAGGAACACCAGUGGCGAAGGCGGCCUACUGGGCACCAACUGACGCUGAGGCUCGAAAGUGUGGGUAGCAAACAGG
RNAcentral lists this ribosomal RNA (713 nucleotides) under uncultured Lachnospiraceae bacterium. RNAcentral's name for it is "bacterial SSU rRNA". It matches the Rfam family "Bacterial small subunit ribosomal RNA", at positions 50 to 776 of the family's 1533-position model. The record is from RNAcentral. Lineage: Bacteria; Bacillati; Bacillota; Clostridia; Lachnospirales; Lachnospiraceae.